RNAcentral lists this ribosomal RNA (305 nucleotides) under uncultured bacterium. Its description in RNAcentral is "bacterial SSU rRNA". It matches the Rfam family "Bacterial small subunit ribosomal RNA", at positions 338 to 639 of the family's 1533-position model. The record is from RNAcentral.
CCUACGGGAGGCAGCAGUGAGGAAUAUUGGUCAAUGGGCUUACGCCUGAACCAGCCAAGUCGCGUGAGGGAAGACUGCCCUAUGGGUUGUAAACCUCUUUUGUCAGGGAGCAAUUGGCGCUACGUGUAGCGUUAUCGAGAGUACCUGAAGAAAAAGCAUCGGCUAACUCCGUGCCAGCAGCCGCGGUAAUACGGAGGAUGCGAGCGUUAUCCGGAUUUAUUGGGUUUAAAGGGUGCGUAGGCGGAAUGCCAAGUCAGCGGUAAAAUCGCGGGGCUCAACCGCGGAACUGCAUUUGAAACUGUUUU